Molecule: ribosomal RNA, 371 nt
Filed under: uncultured bacterium
Lineage: Bacteria
Description: bacterial SSU rRNA
Rfam family: Bacterial small subunit ribosomal RNA
Source: RNAcentral
GGGGGGGGCAAGCGUUGUUCGGAAUUACUGGGCGUAAAGGGCUCGUAGGCGGCCAACUAAGUCAGACGUGAAAUCCCUCGGCUUAACCGGGGAACUGCAUCUGAUACUGGAUGGCUUGAGUUCGGGAGAGGGAUGCGGAAUUCCAGGUGUAGCGGUGAAAUGCGUAGAUAUCUGGAGGAACACCGGUGGCGAAGGCGGCAUCCUGGACCGACACUGACGCUGAGGAGCGAAAGCCAGGGGAGCAAACGGGAUUAGAUACCCCGGUAGUCCUGGCCCUAAACGAUGAAUGCUUGGUGUGGCGGGUAUCGAUCCCUGCCGUGCCGAAGCUAACGCAUUAAGCAUUCCGCCUGGGGAGUACGGUCGCAAGGCUG